This 1525-nucleotide long non-coding RNA is filed under the name Bemisia tabaci. Its description in RNAcentral is "lncRNA ENSSSA3NGG014350". Lineage: Eukaryota; Metazoa; Arthropoda; Insecta; Hemiptera; Aleyrodidae. The record is from RNAcentral.
UUGAGGAAACAUAGGGAAUAAUAAUAUAUACAUUGUAAGUGAUUAAUGAUGAAGCACUUUAUUUGUUUUUCUGUUUCUUUUUCCAGAAUUCACCAGGAGCGGUGCACGCGGGAAGAGUUUCUCAAAUUCAAAACCGGCUUAUGAGCGAACACAAAGUUUCCAAGAAACUAAUAACAUACGCGAUAAUUUCUAGCCUAAUAUAUUGGGGUGUGAUGUCGAAACUAGCAAGUCUUUUUGUCUUAUUACCGGAAUUGUAUAGAAAUGUUUGUUGCAGCCACAUAAACAAUGAAGAAACUAAAAGAAAUCAUGUCCAGAAGAAGAUAGACGAUUCUAGGCUCACAGUAUAAAAGUGUUUGUUUAAAAAAUUUUAAAAUCAGUAUUACUGCGGAGUCAGAAUCUGUUUGUUUCACCAAGAACAAUGGAGUUGUAUCCGUGGAAAACAUCUGUUGGUGUAAAAAGUUGAAGUGCAUGGUUAUACUCGGACGGAAAUUCCUUCAACUUAAGGAAAAAUUACUCAAUGGUUGGCUAAAGGUAACAUUAUUUUGUUGAAUGGACGAUCGCAGCCUUGCUCAUCAGUAAGCCUUAGUAAUUUUUAAUUACUUAGAUAGAAAUUUAGGAAAGUGUGUAACUAGUAUUUCCAUACUUUGGAUGUAUGAGAUUUGGAACAAAAUUUAUUUUGAAGUAUAGAUUUUGCCACAAAGUUGCCUUGAAAAUUAAAUUUCAAGCCCUGGCCAUCACCUAACACAAUGAAUUUUUUCAACUUUGAAGUUAUUUUUCUUGCAAUCUCAUGUAUGUUGCUUUUAUCUUUCAUCCACUGGAGUUCUUAAAUGUUGCCAGUUAGGGUAUUUAACGAUCUGAGUAUAGCAUCCUUUAACCACAGCUCCAUACAAUUCACUAAAGUCCUGUAGUUAGUGAAGUGGCACGUGAAUAUUUGACUACCAGUUUUUAUUAAUUCGUUUCAGACUUUUGCUCUUUUGUCAAAAAAACUGACGACUUAAAGGAAACUGCAAGGGAAAUGUGCAGUUUCCUAUUUUCAGAUGAAUUCGCCCAAAACUAUUCAAUGAUUGGACAAAGGGAGAAGAUGUCGUUUGUAGAGUUGCCCAUCGCAGCGCUGCUUAUCAGUAAGCCUUUUUAAUUUUUAAUUACUUAGAUAAAAAUUAAGGAAAACUGCAGAAUAUUUUCUUUCUGCACCUCCGUUUAUGGGUAGAAGAAGAAGAAAAAAAGUUUCCAAGGCAUCCAAAAAUGAAGGAACAAAUGUUUACAUCAACUUUUAUCGCCUGCAGAACGUAGGGUCUUUCAAAGGAGAAAUAUCUUGUUCAAAUCUUUGAGGGAAAGACACAAGAUUUUGCUUCAUUUAAGCCACUGAGGAGGUGCAGAAGUUAAUCUGUGCGGAAGAAAAUUUCCCCGGUCUUCUCCUCUUUAAAAAGAUUCUAUGCCGAGAGUGAGAAUCAAUCAAAAGUUGCAGAAACAUUUUGGAAAGGAAUUGAAGAGAGUCAACUGAAUUUCUAAAUUAAAUACUUAGUUU